RNAcentral lists this ribosomal RNA (232 nucleotides) under uncultured bacterium. Its description in RNAcentral is "partial 16S ribosomal RNA". It matches the Rfam family "Bacterial small subunit ribosomal RNA", at positions 99 to 334 of the family's 1533-position model. The record is from RNAcentral.
CGGACGGGUGAGUAAUGUCUGGGAAACUGCCCGAUGGAGGGGGAUAACUACUGGAAACGGUAGCUAAUACCGCAUAACGUCGCAAGACCAAAGAGGGGGACCUUCGGGCCUCUUGCCAUCAGAUGAACCCAUAUGGGAUUAGCUUGUAGGUGGGGUAAUGGCUCACCUAGGCGACGAUCCCUAGCUGGUCUGAGAGGAUGACCAGCCACACUGGAACUGAGACACGGUCCAG